This 234-nucleotide ribosomal RNA is filed under the name Escherichia coli. RNAcentral describes it as "partial 23S ribosomal RNA". It matches the Rfam family "Bacterial large subunit ribosomal RNA", at positions 1533 to 1765 of the family's 2925-position model. The record is from RNAcentral. Lineage: Bacteria; Pseudomonadati; Pseudomonadota; Gammaproteobacteria; Enterobacterales; Enterobacteriaceae.
CAGGCAAAUCCGGAAAAUCAAGGCUGAGGCGUGAUGACGAGGCACUACGGUGCUGAAGCAACAAAUGCCCUGCUUCCAGGAAAAGCCUCUAAGCAUCAGGUAACAUCAAAUCGUACCCCAAACCGACACAGGUGGUCAGGUAGAGAAUACCAAGGCGCUUGAGAGAACUCGGGUGAAGGAACUAGGCAAAAUGGUGCCGUAACUUCGGGAGAAGGCACGCUGAUAUGUAGGUGA